RNAcentral lists this long non-coding RNA (1716 nucleotides) under Eurytemora carolleeae. RNAcentral describes it as "uncharacterized LOC111711541". Lineage: Eukaryota; Metazoa; Arthropoda; Copepoda; Calanoida; Temoridae. The record is from RNAcentral.
CUAUAUUUCAGGUUUAUAGUGCAAGGUUGAAAGGUUUCAAGCUCACGCGCAGAAAUCGUUGAGAAUUUUCCCCUGAAUACUUCUUAUAAAAUAAAUCUAAUAAUGAUUGCUUUAUAUGGUUCUAAAAUGUAUAUGUGCAGGCCUACAAAAGAGUCUACGUGAGGUAAAAUCAAGUGAGGUCUUGAAAUGUUGGGUUCCAAGUUAUUAAAGGGAAUUAAAGGAUUCACAGCGAUUAGUAAAAUUUUACUAAUCUUAAACAAAUGGCUUAACUAUUUUUUUUCAAAACCAUUUUAAUUGAUACUUGUACUGUGUACAUUAGGCUGGAUCUGUUGAUACUUCUACAUUAGGUUGGAUCUGUUGAUACUUCUACAUUAGGCUGGAUCUGUUGAUACUUCUACAUUAGGUUGGAUCGGUUGAUACUUCUACAUUAGGCUGGAUCUGUUUCGCGACCAAAUCUGGCCUCUUAAAAUAUCCUAGAGUAUCCACCUAGUCAUAAUUUGUUAAGGGGUUUGAUUGGAACCUACACUAAGCCUCAGAUCUCUUGGAUACAACUCUACUUCUUUUAGAAUCUCUCUUCGAUAGUAACAGUCUUCUGGUUAGCAAGAAACAGUUAAACUGUAACCUGGAGGAUGAAUAAGUGCGAGAACCUCAGAGGAUCUGGCGGACCUCAUAGCUACACCUCUCGGCGAAAAAUAACGUUAAACUGAAACCUGGAAGAUGAAUGAGUGCGAGUAUAACCGUGAAUCUGUCGAACCUCAGAGGAUCUGGCGGACCUCAUAGCUGCACCUCUCGGCGAAAAAUAACGUCUGAGAAAACUGUAACGCCUCCUGAACCGACAAACCUCACCGCCGAGAAACCAAGAUGUCUCAAGAAAAUGGGACAUCUACGCUACAUCGCUCUCUCUAAUUUGUAUCCCAAUACAAACGAGCAACAUAUUUGCUCUAGAGUAUUGAAGAUAUGAGAAAUAUGAAGAGAUUAAACCAUAAUCUCUCUUCAACGUCCUAGACAGUAGCGCGGAACCAUCAAUGUUCUACGUGAGUCUAGUCCUCAAGUAUAAUGUUUUUUUCUUCCAACUGAAACUUAAUGUUUCUCCAAUAAGCUAAUUUACAUUAGCAAGGAACCUUCAAUGUUCCAAGCUAGUAUGUUUCUUAAUUUCAGAGUCUCUUAUCUUCACGUCGGUCAUAUAGAUUCUAAACCACAUAGAUAAAUUAACAUGCAGCAAGGAACCAUCAAUGUUCCGCGCUAGUAUGUAUCUUAAUUAUAUAGCUUCUUACCUUUACGUUGGCUAAAUAGCGUCAAGACUACAUAGUUUAAUUAAUAUAAAGCCAUACCAACGAAGAACCAUCAAUGUUCUUCGUUGGUACAAUCUGUGUAUUUUUCACAUAGUGUAUAUAGACUUUAUAUCAAGGUUUCAUGAAAAUUGUAAAGUGUUUACGCAAACUGAUUUCUACAUAAAUUGCUCAAAUUAUAUAUAAACGAUUCUGUUAUUAAAAAUUUCUAUUCAAUCCGCAAACCCUAUUUUCGUCAAUAUCUUAUUAUAUGCAUUUAACGUCCUACCAUUUCAUUGGUACAUUUCUCAAUUUUUAUGUUUUGCAUAACCCAAGUAGCCUUGAUUCCAAAUUUUUUAUUUAAAAAUGUAUCCGUAAAUUAACUCUUAUAUAAAUCUCUCAAAAAAUUGUAAACGAAUUUGUUGUAAAACUUUAUUAUUAAACACAU